Molecule: non-coding RNA, 1150 nt
Organism: Salmo salar (Atlantic salmon)
Lineage: Eukaryota; Metazoa; Chordata; Actinopteri; Salmoniformes; Salmonidae
Source: RefSeq, a predicted model, not a curated record
GUUCGGCACAAGUUAUUUGGACUGACUGGAUAACUGACAUAUUCUAACAUGACUUUAUCAGGUAAAGAUUCUGCUUCAAAACUCAAAAGGACAGACAAUGUCUUCUCAGUUUCACCACCGGGUCUGCGUCGUACCAAUCAGAGAGCGUCACAGACACAGAGAAUUUUCCAUUUCAGUUGCUCCACCUCAACGCCACCCCAGUAAUCACUCCUUUCAAAGGCUUCCUGCUCCGAAAAGCAAAGCAAGUCACAGGUCUUGUCCCUAGUCACAUGAAGCAAGACAUCCACUCCCUCUGCACAGAAAAACAUCACAAGUCCACUUCGAACUACCUUUACAGAUUUAACAGUACCCAAAUCAUUUUCUACCCAGCCUGAGACUAAAGCCAAACGGCAGGGAUCCACUUUCUCUAAAAAUGUCCCUCCCACUGUGUCACCUUACUUGUAGAAAAGUGGAGCAGAGCAUGUUGAGCGAUCUCCAGCUCCGAGGAGAAGGAAGUAACUUGACAAAAGUUACAAGUUCCAGUCAUCUCCGGUUAUUUCCUUUAGUUAGCAUUCUUUGUUUUUGCCAAGGCCAGUGUGCGUCUUUCAGAAAUUUUUUUUCAGGUGCAAAACCCUUGUAUUGAUUCAACAGACCUUGACCAGAGACGAAGAGCUGCAGCUCAUGUCCAUAGUGGUCGGAAUCCUGAUCCCUGAAUAAUCAACACGAGGAGGAGGUUCAGAAUGAUGAAUAUGAUAAGAGUAAGUGCCAUGAAAAGCCAGAAAACUCAAUCUGACACAUCACACGACUCUUCGAGAGCCACUAUGAUCCAGAUCGCCUUCUGUGCUCAGAGGACCUUGUGAGGCUCUGCCCCAUCAAACCAUGCUUAUUAAUCAUUAAUCAAAUAAGACAAUGGGCCUUUAUAUACUAUGUAUCCCAGUCUUUCUAUUCAUGUAAUGUCUGUGGGUGAAUUUUGAAACAAUUACUAUAUGCAGAUGUAACAAAAAAUGGUGAUGUAGAUUUGUUUUUGCCAUUGCUUGAUCUAUUUAAAAUGUAAGAAUAUGUUGCAGAUUAACUUUAAUUGGUGACUAUGGAAACAAAUAUAAAUGUAAUGAACAAUGUUUUCAAUAUCCAACUUUAUCCUCAGCAAUGCAUUUUACAGUACACUCUUAGA